RNAcentral lists this ribosomal RNA (465 nucleotides) under uncultured bacterium. Its description in RNAcentral is "partial 16S ribosomal RNA". It matches the Rfam family "Bacterial small subunit ribosomal RNA", at positions 28 to 507 of the family's 1533-position model. The record is from RNAcentral.
GAUGAACGCUGGCGGCGUGCUUAACACAUGCAAGUCGAACGGAAAGGCUCCUGCUUGCAGGGGUACUCGAGUGGCGAACGGGUGAGUAACACGUGGGUGAUCUGCCCUGCACUUCGGGAUAAGCCUGGGAAACUGGGUCUAAUACCGGAUAGGACGAUGGUUUGGAUGCCAUUGUGGAAAGUUUUUCGGUGUGGGAUGAGCUCGCGGCCUAUCAGCUUGUUGGUGGGGUAAUGGCCUACCAAGGCGUCGAAGGGUAGCCGGCCUGGGAGGGUGUACGGCCACAUUGGGACUGAGAUACGGCCCAGACUCCUACGGGAGGCAGCAGUGGGGAAUAUUGCACAAUGGGCGCAAGCCUGAUGCAGCGACGCCGCGUGGGGGAUGACGGCCUUCGGGUUGUAAACUCCUUUCGCUAGGGACGAAGCGCAAGUGACGGUACCUGGAGAAGAAGCACCGGCUAACUACGUG